UAUUGGACAAUGGGCGAAAGCCUGAUCCAGCGACGCCGCGUGUGUGAAGAAGGCCUGCGGGUUGUAAAGCACUUUUAGUGGGGAUGAAAAGCCUGGGGCUAAUACCUCCGGGUCUUGACCUAACCCACAGAAAAAGCACCGGCUAACUCUGUGCCAGCAGCCGCGGUAAUACAGAGGGUGCGAGCGUUAAUCGGAAUUACUGGGCGUAAAGCGUGCGUAGACGGUUAUGUAAGUCGGAUGUGAAAGCCCCGGGCUCAACCUGGGAAUUGCAUUCGAGACUGCAUGGCUAGGGUGCGGAAGAGGGAAGCGGAAUUUCCGGUGUAGCGGUGAAAUGCGUAGAUAUCGGAAGGAACACCAGUGGCGAAAGCGGCUUCCUGGUCCAGCACCGACGUUCAGGCACGAAAGCGUGGGGAGCAAACAGG
This 422-nucleotide ribosomal RNA is filed under the name uncultured bacterium. RNAcentral's name for it is "bacterial SSU rRNA". It matches the Rfam family "Bacterial small subunit ribosomal RNA", at positions 362 to 776 of the family's 1533-position model. The record is from RNAcentral.